AGCAACCUUCGGGCUUAGUGGCGCACGGGUGCGUAACGCGUGGGUAACCUGCCUUUAGGUUCGGUAAUAACAGUUAGAAAUGACUGCUAAUACCGGAUAAUGUCUUCGGACCAAAGAUUUAUCGCUUUAGUAUGGGCCCGCGUUAGUAUUAGUAUAGUUGGUGGGGUAAUGGCCUACCAAGUCGACGAUCUAUAGCUGGUUCUGAGUAGGAUGAUCAGCACACUGGGUACUGAGACACGGUCCAGUACUCCUACGGGAGGCAGNAGUGGG
Molecule: ribosomal RNA, 270 nt
Filed under: uncultured Sphingomonadales bacterium
Lineage: Bacteria; Pseudomonadati; Pseudomonadota; Alphaproteobacteria; Sphingomonadales
Description: partial 16S ribosomal RNA
Rfam family: Bacterial small subunit ribosomal RNA
Source: RNAcentral